GCGCGGGUGGCGGAAUAGGUAGACGCGCAAGCUUGAGGUGCUUGUCCUCCAAUAGUGAGGGUGGGGGUUCAAGUCCCCCUCCGCGCA
This 87-nucleotide transfer RNA is filed under the name Nesterenkonia sedimenti. It matches the Rfam family "tRNA". From Rfam's summary of the family: Transfer RNA (tRNA) molecules are approximately 80 nucleotides in length. Their secondary structure includes four short double-helical elements and three loops (D, anti-codon, and T loops). Lineage: Bacteria; Bacillati; Actinomycetota; Actinomycetes; Micrococcales; Micrococcaceae. The record is from Rfam by way of RNAcentral.